UAGUAACGGCGAGUGAAGCGGGAAGAGCUCAAGCUUGAAAUCUCCGCACAAGUUUUGUGUGGCGAAUUGUAGUCUAUAGAAGCGAUGUCAGCAUAGCUGCUCUAGUCAAGUUCCUUGGAAAAGGACAGCAUGGAGGGUUAUACUCCCGUCAUUGCUGGAGCAUGCUGUGUGUACGACACGUUUUCUUUGAGUCGCGUUGUUUGGGAAUGCAGCGCAAAGUAGGUGGUAAAUUCCAUCUAAAGCUAAAUAUAAGUGCGAGACCGAUAGCGAACAAGUACCGUGAGGGAAAGAUGAAAAGAACUUUGAAAAGAGAGUUAAAGAGUACCUGAAACUGCUGAAAGGGAAGCGAAUCGUAUCCAGUGUCUAUAAUCCGCAACAUAUUACAAUGAUGUGUCUUUGCUUUCCGCGUGUAGGUAGUAGCCUUGGUUGCACCUUGCGUGGAUUGGUUGAGACAUAUCGUUGCCCUGUGUUGUGGUGGGACGUCAAAGUCAGUUUGUACGUCGCAGGAAAUGAUUGACGAGGAAGAUAGGUUUGCUGCUUGCAGCGUUCCAUUAUAUCCUUAUCGAUGUCUGCUGUGACGGAGACUGAGGUGUCUUUAACAUGCUCUCGAGUCUAUUAGACAUUCACUUGGUUGAGUGCGUAGAUAGCUUGCUAUGUACGUGUUUAUACAGGGUGAUUGUGUUUGGUAGUAACUUGUUGCUGUUC
Molecule: ribosomal RNA, 705 nt
Filed under: Albugo candida
Lineage: Eukaryota; Oomycota; Peronosporomycetes; Albuginales; Albuginaceae
Description: LSU rRNA
Rfam family: Eukaryotic large subunit ribosomal RNA (bases 1-604)
Source: RNAcentral